Molecule: RNase P RNA, 351 nt
Filed under: Anaerolineae bacterium
Lineage: Bacteria; Bacillati; Chloroflexota; Anaerolineae
Description: RNase P RNA component class A
Rfam family: Bacterial RNase P class A
About the family: Ribonuclease P (RNase P) is a ubiquitous endoribonuclease, found in archaea, bacteria and eukarya as well as chloroplasts and mitochondria. Its best characterised activity is the generation of mature 5'-ends of tRNAs by cleaving the 5'-leader elements of precursor-tRNAs. Cellular RNase Ps are ribonucleoproteins.
Source: RNAcentral
CGGGUUGGCCGGAUGAUCGCGGCGUGCUCGUCACGCCGAGGAAAGUCCGUACUCCAAGGAGCGCGAAACCGGGGAAACCCCGGGACGGGGCAACCUGUCGGAAAGGGCCACAGAAACAUACCGCCCGCGAGGGUAAGGGUGAAAUGGUGGUGCAAGAGACCACCGGGACAUGCAGCAAUGCGUUCGCCGGGCAACCCCUUUCGGGAGCAAGGUCAAAUAGAGGCUUGCCAGUCACAGGCAGCUCACCUGGCCGGCUCGCGCCGGCGGCCUCAGGUAGACCGCGUAGACAGAUGGUCAUCCAGGCGGGUUUAUCCUGCCGGACAGAAUGCGGCUUACAGGUCAACCCGGACU